UUCAAAUGUUUCGUUGGUUACAGCUCUGAUUUUAUCUGGUCCUGGUCUGCUCCAUUCUUGCCCUUUUAAGGUCCUCCUCUGGCCAGUUAUAGCACCUCUGGGCCCCAGCCCAAAGUCUCUGUGUUGGGUAAACACUAUAUUCCCAUUAAGACGGAUGAGUCUUUGUCAGCAGUGCUGCUGGAGAAACCAUCUGUUAGGUCCAGGCCAUCUGUGCUUUAGGAAAGUCCUGGAAUGCUGUUGAAGUGUAGAGCGACCCAGCCUUCCAUCCUGGUGGAGAAUAGUCUGCCUGCUUAGAUGUGUGAAGAGGUCGUUAUGCAUUACCUUGUUGAGUCCUCCAAAACCUUGUGAGUUUCAUGCAGGUUCAUGUGAGGCAGCAGGACCCUGGGACCCACCCUGACGCCAAUCUAUCCUCCCUGCUCCUGACUCUGGAGCCUCAGGGCUCAGGUGUUUGUCCAGGUGGAAGCGCUGCCGAAAAGGGUCCCAGAUGCCAGCCUUUCUCAAUGCUGCUCAGGAUUCUCGCCGGUCCAAACCACACAGAAGCCAGAAACCAAGAAAAUGUGUUGAUGUGGUCCAGCCAGAGUGGCCUCUGGGGGCAGAGAACUAGGUUGAGGAAGGUGAGAGAGGGUCUUGAAGGGCAAUAAAAGGUCUCAAGAAUCAUUAUACUCUUGAAUAACAAGUUGAACAUUUCUUAAAACAGAAUCUCACCUGUGAAGGCUUUUUAUUGCCGCAAAAUAAAAUCCAAAAGACUUAACA
Long non-coding RNA from Bos indicus x Bos taurus (hybrid cattle), 753 nucleotides. NCBI's taxonomy places the organism in Eukaryota, Metazoa, Chordata, Mammalia, Artiodactyla, Bovidae. The record is from Ensembl.